UACGUAGGGUGCAAGCGUUAUCCGGAAUUAUUGGGCGUAAAGAGCUCGUAGGCGGUUUGUCGCGUCUGCUGUGAAAACUCGAGGCUCAACCUCGAGACGUCGGCGGAAACCAUCUGGCUAGAGUCCGGAAGAGGAGAGUGGAAUUCCUGGUGUAGCGGUGAAAUGCGCAGAUAUCAGGAAGAACACCCGUGGCGAAGGCGGCUCUCUGGGACGGUACUGACGCUGAGACGCGAAAGCGUGGGGAGCGAACAGG
RNAcentral lists this ribosomal RNA (253 nucleotides) under uncultured bacterium. Its description in RNAcentral is "partial 16S ribosomal RNA". It matches the Rfam family "Bacterial small subunit ribosomal RNA", at positions 524 to 776 of the family's 1533-position model. The record is from RNAcentral.